AUUGAACGCUGGCGGCAGGCUUAGCACAUGCAAGUCGAGCGGGGUGAUGGUGCUUGCACUAUCACUUAGCGGCGGACGGGUGAGUAAUGCUUAGGAAUCUGCCUAUUAGUGGGGGACAACAUCUCGAAAGGGAUGCUAAUACCGCAUACGUCCUACGGGAGAAAGCAGGGGAUCACUUGUGACCUUGUGCUAAUAGAUGAGCCUAAGUCGGAUUAGCUAGUUGGUGGGGUAAAGGCCUACCAAGGCGACGGUCUGUAGCGGGUCUGAGAGGAUGAUCCGCCACACUGGGACUGAGACACUGCCCAGACUCCUACGGGAGGCAGCAGUGGGGAAUAUUGGACAAUGGGGGGAACCCUGAUCCAGCCAUGCCGCGUGUGCGAAGAAGGCCUUAUGGUUGUAAAGCACUUUAAGCGAGGAGGAGGCUUACCUAGUUAAUACCUGGGAUAAGUGGACGUUACUCGCAGAAUAAGCACCGGCUAACUCUGUGCCAGCCGCCGCGGUAA
Molecule: ribosomal RNA, 503 nt
Filed under: uncultured bacterium
Lineage: Bacteria
Description: partial 16S ribosomal RNA
Rfam family: Bacterial small subunit ribosomal RNA
Source: RNAcentral